GAAGUGCGAUAAGCAAUGCGAAUUGCAGAACCGUGAGUCAUCAGAUUUUUGAACGCAACUGGCGCUGCUUGGCUAUCCAGGCAGCAUGCUUGUUUCAGUGUCUUGUUUUCUCCUCACCCAAAUCUUAAUGUGAGAGAUACCCUUCUCUUGCUAAGUACGAAAGCACUCUGAGCUUCGCAGGUGGCUUGACUUCGGUCAAGGUCACACUCACUGCAGUCGUCACAUUGUUUACAGUGUGAACUCAUUGAGAGCAAAGUCAGCGCAGUUUAUCUGCAAGUGCUUAGACCUCUAAACUCUUCUUGCAUCUGAAAUCAAGCAGGAUCACCCGCUGAACUUAA
This 338-nucleotide unclassified non-coding RNA is filed under the name uncultured fungus. Its description in RNAcentral is "sequence contains ITS1". The stretch from base 1 to 103 matches the Rfam family "5.8S ribosomal RNA", at positions 50 to 154 of the family's 154-position model. Lineage: Eukaryota; Fungi. The record is from RNAcentral.